GAUGAACGCUGGCGGCGUGCCUAAUACAUGCAAGUCGAACGAAGAUCUAGCUUGCUAGAUCUUAGUGGCGAACGGGUGUGUAAUACAUAAAUAAUCUGCCCAUAUGACUGGGAUAACUAUUGGAAACGAUAGCUAAUACCGGAUAGGUUGAUCGGAGGCAUCUCUGAUGAAUUAAAGUAGGAUUUCUACACAAAUGGAUGAGUUUAUGGCGCAUUAGUUAGUUGGUGGGGUAACGGCCUACCAAGACGAUGAUGCGUAGCCGACCUGAGAGAGUGACCGGCAACACUGGACUGAGACACGGCCCAGACUCCUACGGGAGGCAGCAGUAGGGAAUUUUCGGCAAUGGGCGCAAGCCUGACCGAGCAACGCCGCGUGAGUGAUUAAGGCCUUCGGGUUGUAAAGCUCUGUUGUAAGGGAAGAACAUUCAGGAUAGGAAAUGAUCUUGAACUGACGGUACCUUACCAGAAAGCCACGGCUAACUGCGUGCCAGCCGCCGCAGUAA
This 502-nucleotide ribosomal RNA is filed under the name uncultured bacterium. RNAcentral describes it as "partial 16S ribosomal RNA". It matches the Rfam family "Bacterial small subunit ribosomal RNA", at positions 28 to 523 of the family's 1533-position model. The record is from RNAcentral.